CCUACGGGAGGCAGCAGUGAGGAAUAUUGGUCAAUGGACGAGAGUCUGAACCAGCCAAGUAGCGUGAAGGAUGACUGCCCUAUGGGUUGUAAACUUCUUUUAUAUGGGAAUAAAAUGUUCCACGUGUGGGAUUUUGUAUGUACCAUAUGAAUAAGGAUCGGCUAACUCCGUGCCAGCAGCCGCGGUAAUACGGAGGAUCCGAGCGUUAUCCGGAUUUAUUGGGUUUAAAGGGAGCGUAGGUGGGUGGUUAAGUCAGUUGUGAAAGUUUGCGGCUCAACCGUAAAAUUGCAGUUGAGACUGGCAGUCUGGAGUACAGUAGAGGUGGGCGGAAUUCGUGGUGUAGCGGUGAAAUGCUUAGAUAUCACGAAGAACUCCGAUUGCGAAGGCAGCUCACUGGACUGCAACUGACAUUGAGGCUCGAAAGUGUGGGUAUCAAACAGGAUUAGAUACCCGAGUAGUC
This 460-nucleotide ribosomal RNA is filed under the name uncultured bacterium. Its description in RNAcentral is "partial 16S ribosomal RNA". It matches the Rfam family "Bacterial small subunit ribosomal RNA", at positions 338 to 795 of the family's 1533-position model. The record is from RNAcentral.